RNAcentral lists this long non-coding RNA (2329 nucleotides) under Nicotiana benthamiana. RNAcentral describes it as "long non-coding RNA (NBEN_LNC033514)". Lineage: Eukaryota; Viridiplantae; Streptophyta; Magnoliopsida; Solanales; Solanaceae. The record is from RNAcentral.
GUCUUAAGUAUAAACUUUUAUUGUUUCUCUCCAAUUUCUGUGCAACUCAUGCCGCUGUUACCCGCCUGAACACUAAAGCCGCAAAUUUUCUUCUUCAUCCAAAAAUUCUAGCCAACCCUUCUUCGGACAAGACUGAACAAAAACCUGGACAACCUAUCGCUGCCUUCUUCGUUUUCGACCUUCGACCAAGAGAACCCCAUCCCUAACGUUCCAUCAGCUUCCUCAACAUUACAAGCACCAGGCGACCCCAUUUUCCACCGGAACUCAACAACCAGUCAAACACCUCUCAAAACCACCACUAAAACUCCAUCUCCAGCUAUGGGAGUGGCUUGAAAACUCCAGGGAGUGAGCUGAAACUUCAGCUCAAAAGGAGCUGAAAUACUGUCUCAAAAGCGCCAUUAAAAUAGCUCCUUUGCACACACAACACGGCAAAGUCGGCAGUGAGAUCCCGUUCGAGCGAUUAGCGUUAGAGGUGGCUGUUUCGAGGUUCUCAGUGUCGUUUCCGGUCCGGAUUCGCUCUAUUCUGUUCCAGAUCUUUGUUGCAUUCUAUUUUCGGGUAAGACUUUUUUUUAAGUUGAAAAACAAAUAUAAUUGUAUUCCAUCGGAAGUUUGCUUUAAGAUGAUAAUUGUAUAUAUAAUUUUGUGGUGUUGCUCCAUUGUUUUGCUUUGUUUGUCUUCAUUAUUAGAAGUCAUAGCAUACUGGGGUUGAAUUGUAUUGUUUCAAGAUCUGAUUAUGCUUUCAGUUCUUUUAUAAUUUAAACUGUAAUACCCGAAGAAGUAUUUUCAGUAGAGCAUCGUGCUUUUAAAAUUGAUGAGGACUGUCUUGUGCAGUUUUGAUGGGAAUUAGGUGUAAGGGUGAAACCUUUAGAUACAAUAUGAAAAAUUUUAAAAGCCAGUAAUUUGGAUGAUUUCUUUGAUUACUAGAUUGGUCAUCGUAAUAUUUAGUUCUGUGGCAUUAAGAAGUGAUAUAUGGGGGUGGGUAUUGGUUAAUAAUCUAGAAGCUCUUAUCAUGUUUUAACCCAUUUCUUUUUUUAUUGUGUUCUGUUUUUAAUUCUCAAAUUAUUUAGAUAUUUCUCCUAUUUAAAUAUUUGUUUUGUUAGGACAAUACGUGUAUGAAUGUCUGCUGGGCUGUGUGGAUUGCUAAAAGAUCGAGCCCACUAGUACUUAAUUAAAGGGAUUUUUUCAUAUAUGUACCAAAUUCAAAACUAUAUUAUCAAAGAUGUUCAUAAUAUAUAUAUUAUAUUUCUAGUUUAUUUUUUUCUUUCAUUCUAUGUACCAAAUGAGCUCCACCCGCCAAUCACCCCAAAAAGGAAGGAAUAUAUUUAACUUUUGUGUUAGUUAAAGUAGAAACAUGUUGUAGUUGGGCUUGACUUUAAUUAUAGAUAUUAAAGCGAAAAGGGGAAAGUAAGAGUGAGUCUUACUACAAUUGAAGAAUAAAAUUUGGGAGGGAAUCUUUGUACUGCCGAGAACCAAUUUCUUAAAUGAUUAUAUCUACUUCAUUGAUCUACAUUGCCUACAAUUGAAUUAAACCUACUUUGAAGCUUCAUAUUUGUUGUUCAUAUAAUUAAUAUGGGGAAAGUAAGAGUGAGUUUUUGUGAGACAUUUCUUUUCUUCUGGUUAUUACGUUGUAUGUGUACCGAAACCUUUUUGAGUAUUAUCUUGACGUAAUAUUUGAAUUUUAUUGGCGGAUGCAUUAAUGUUUUAGGCUCUUCGAUAAAUUUGUCAUACUUUUUUCUUGGUAUUUCUGAUGACAUUAAUGUUUUAGGCUCUCCGGUAAAUUUGUCAUACUUUUUUCUUGGUAUUUCUGAUUUUCAGUUCUAGUUUGUAUUAUUUUUAGUGUCCUCUUAAUUUCAUGUUAGCAAUGAUACAUGUAUUUAAUUGCAAUCAACUUUCAAAUUGAAGUUGCUGAAUGUGAUUCUUGAAGUUCACGAAUUUUGUAGAUAAAUUGUAAUUGAUAUUAUCUACAGUUUAUAUUUGUAGUAAUUUUGAACAUGUAGAUUAGUUGUGCUAAUUAUGUGUAUAAAUGUAGUUGCUAUUAUCUGCAACUUUAUAAAUGUAGUUAUUUUAUUUUGUGUAGAAUGGACAUUAUUUUGCACCAUAUAAGUGAGGUUACAUGUUGGCUAGCGAGGAGGAAGGGUGCUCCCUCUUUGAAUGAGAAGACUGGAACGCAUAGAAUGAAGAAAUAGUCAAUUGUUUUCCAUAUUUAGUUGAGGCAAAUUUGUAGUUGAAGAAUAAGGAUCUACUUUUUUGGAAACAAUCUACCAGCUUAUUGUAUUUAAUUUUGUAGUUGUAUAUGUUCAUCAUUUUUAUGAAAUACCUUCAAGUUCCA